AUACGGAGGGUCCGAGCGUUAUCCGGAAUCAUUGGGUUUAAAGGGUCCGUGGGCGGGAAUCUAAGUCAGUGGUGAAAUCUUGCAGCUCAACUGUAAAAUUGCCAUUGAUACUGGAUUUCUUGAAUUAGUGUGAAGUGGUUAGAAUGUGUAGUGUAGCGGUGAAAUGCAUAGAUAUUACACAGAAUACCAAUUGCGAAGGCAGAUCACUAACACUAUAUUGACGCUAAGGGACGAAAGCGUGGGGAGCGAACAGGAUUAGAAACCCGGGUAGUCC
Molecule: ribosomal RNA, 274 nt
Filed under: uncultured bacterium
Lineage: Bacteria
Description: partial 16S ribosomal RNA
Rfam family: Bacterial small subunit ribosomal RNA
Source: RNAcentral